AUUGAACGCUGGCGGCAGGCCUAACACAUGCCAGUCGAGCGGUAGAGCGAAGCUUGCUUCUCUUGAGAGCGGCGGACGGGUGAGUAAUGCCUAGGAAUCUGCCUGGUAGUGGGGGAUAACGUUCGGAAACGGACGCUAAUACCGCAUACGUCCUACGGGAGAAAGCAGGGGACCUUCGGGCCUUGCGCUAUCAGAUGAGCCUAGGUCGGAUUAGCUAGUUGGUGGGGUAAUGGCUCACCAAGGCGACGAUCCGUAACUGGUCUGAGAGGAUGAUCAGUCACACUGGAACUGAGACACGGUCCAGACUCCUACGGGAGGCAGCAGUGGGGAAUAUUGGACAAUGGGCGAAAGCCUGAUCCAGCCAUGCCGCGUGUGUGAAGAAGGUCUUCGGAUUGUAAAGCACUUUAAGUUGGGAGGAAGGGCAGUAAAUUAAUACUUUGCUGUUUUGACGUUACCGACAGAAUAAGCACCGGCUAACUCUGUG
Molecule: ribosomal RNA, 484 nt
Filed under: uncultured bacterium
Lineage: Bacteria
Description: partial 16S ribosomal RNA
Rfam family: Bacterial small subunit ribosomal RNA
Source: RNAcentral